This is a non-coding RNA of Triticum aestivum (bread wheat), 124 nucleotides long. NCBI's taxonomy places the organism in Eukaryota, Viridiplantae, Streptophyta, Magnoliopsida, Poales, Poaceae. The record is from Rfam.
CUUAUACUCCCUCUGCCGAAAAUACUUGUCGAAGAAAUGCAUAAAAAUGGAUGUAUGUAGAAUUAAAAUACGUAUAGAUACAUCCAUUCCUCCGACAAGUAUUUCCGGACGGAGGAAGUAUAUA